RNAcentral lists this long non-coding RNA (1206 nucleotides) under Oreochromis niloticus (Nile tilapia). Its description in RNAcentral is "lncRNA (ENSONIG00000031815.1)". The record is from RNAcentral. Lineage: Eukaryota; Metazoa; Chordata; Actinopteri; Cichliformes; Cichlidae.
AUGCUAGUUAUAUUAAUCAUGUUAUUGUUAAAAUGGACCUUUUUUCUCCUUGUGUUCUUAGUAGCUUCACGGAUCCUUCAUACUCCACAAUUCACUCACCUGGAUGCUGUUCAACCCUGGAACUCUGACUGUUGGUUCAUGCUCAGAGACUCAUCACUCUUCACCUGCCUGCCCCCCUGCUACUGCAGUCCUAGAUCACUGGAUCAUUCAGGUUGGACUCUGCUCACUCUCAUCCCGUCUGGACAAUUACCCGGACAACACUGCCUCCCCCCUAGGCACUCUCUACCUACUAGCAAAAGACCCUCGUUCAAGUCUCAUGUGCCACGAACUAUUUCCUGACCAUUGUUCCAGUUUCACGCUCCAUGCAUUAUUCCUUUGAUUGUUGCCUUCUUUUGUUUUUGUAAAUAAAGUCUCAUUAACCCUGAUCCCUACUGUCCUGUCUGAAUCUGCAUUUGGGUUCAUAUUCACGUACUGGCCUUGGCCCGCCUUGGCACAUGGACAAAAUCAUAUUCUUCAUUGAACUGUUUGAACUUAUCUAAAACAAGGUAUUAUCACACACCAGCACAUCUGGAAUACCAGAGAGCAGCGGUCCCCAACCUUUUUUGCGCCACGGGCCGGUUUAUGUCCGUCAACAUUGUCACCGACCGGCUUUUAAGGUGUCAUGGAUAAAUACAACAAAAUAAAACCAGUACUGGUACCCCUCAAAAAAGAAGAUUUAUUCAUAACACACAGAAAAAGACCCAGGGAAACUGAGUUAAUGAUAAAAACGAUUUAAAAAAUAGCGAUAAAAAUCGAUAUAACCCCUGAAAACAAUAAAUUUCACACCCGAGCCUCAACUCUCGUGGCCCGGUACCAAACAACUCACGAACCGGUACCGGUCCGUGGCCGGGGUUAGGGACCGGCGUUAUUUUUGUGCCUCUAUUCUGAGGGCAUGUAAAAAAAAAAAAUAAAAAAAAUUUGCAAGUGUAAAUGUUGCAUUUUUAUGAGAAAAUUAUUUUAAGCGAUGAAAAGUUCAAGUUGAGUGAAUCUCCUCAAAAUCUACUCAAAUUGCAACAUUUGCACUUGCAAAUUGUAUUUACGUGUUUAGAAUAGGGACACAAAGGCCUGUUCUAAAAAUACCUCACCAUAGCGCCACUUACCAGUUGCAUCUAAUUAAUUUUUUUAUUUUAUUUUUUUGUAUUCUUUUUUAAACCACACUUCCAUUGG